CGGCGGACGAUUGAAAACAGGGCUCGGUGGGACUACGUUUCACAAGUUUCCCAAGGACAAAGAUGCGAGGAAGAAGUGGGAAGUGGCUUUGAGAAGAGAAGGAUUUACUGCAAUGUGUGUGUGUGUG
Long non-coding RNA from Etheostoma cragini (Arkansas darter), 127 nucleotides. RefSeq lists it as uncharacterized. The record is from RefSeq and is a predicted model, not a curated record. Lineage: Eukaryota; Metazoa; Chordata; Actinopteri; Perciformes; Percidae. The transcript has 3 exons.